UGCCAGCCGCCGCGGUAAUACGUAGGACCCGAGCGUUAUCCGGAUUUACUGGGCGUAAAGCGCGCGUAGGCGGUUUUGUAAGUCGGAUGUGAGAUCCCUGGGCUUAACCUGGGAACUGCAUUCGAUACUGCAUAACUAGAGUAUGGUAGAGGGAAGUGGAAUUUCCGGUGUAGCGGUGAAAUGCGUAGAUAUCGGAAGGAACACCAGUGGCGAAGGCGACUUCCUGGGCCAAUACUGACGCUGAGGUGCGAAAGCGUGGGGAGCAAACAGGAUUAGAUA
RNAcentral lists this ribosomal RNA (279 nucleotides) under uncultured bacterium. RNAcentral's name for it is "partial 16S ribosomal RNA". It matches the Rfam family "Bacterial small subunit ribosomal RNA", at positions 506 to 784 of the family's 1533-position model. The record is from RNAcentral.